AUACCCUGCUAAUUUUUGUAUUUUUAGUUGAGACGGGAUUUCACUAUGUUGGCCAGUCUAGUCUCAAGCUUCUGGUUUGAAGUGAUCCAUCUUCCUCAGCCUCCCAAAGUGCUGGGAGUACAGGGUGUAAACCAUGUCGUUCGUGGAACCAGUGGGAAGAUGUUGGCAACCAAAGGUUGAAAGCCUUGCAAAACCAUCAUGCAAACAUGGAGUUGCCGUAAGCAAGAGAGCAAGAAAUCAGUUAACAUUUUAAACAAAAUUGGAACAAAAGUAAAAGUUGAAAAUAUAAUAAUGACGGGUACUAUUAAAGAGAGCAAGGCAGACAAUGGACAUAGCUUUCAUAUUCCCAUGGAAGUUCCUAGAGAUUCAAUUUUGUCUGCCUGGGUGAUGAUAUUAUUAAUAUUUUCUUCGACUAAACCAGACUGAUUGAUCUCAAAAACAGCAUUCUUCUUUUAGAUAUAAACAUGUUCCUCUUUACCCGGCUGGGAGAAGAUCCCAGGCUCCUUGGUUUUGUCGGACUACAGUGGCCAUGGAGUCCAGAUGUUGUUGAAGUCUAUUGAGGCCCUCUGCUGCCUGUUGGGGACACACUGAGAUUUUCUGAGAUAGUUUAUACUGGAUUCCCAAGGAUCCACCUUAUGGUGACAUUUGUGCUGCAAAGGAAUUCUGCAUUGAAAUGGUGAAAGCAGCAAAAGUUUUAAGUCUUUUCUAUUUUUUGCCAAUAAGCAAAAGUUUUCUGCAGCUACGUGGUCAGCAGUCAUUGGGUCCAUUUAUGGAUGGUGAAGUUGAAUGGUGGUCAAAGUUAGAGCCUGGAAGGCUUCAGUAAAUGCGCUGAAGUUCUUUGGGAGCCAUCAGAGCUGUUGCUUGCAUUGGAUUAGAUCAUUUAUUGAGAAGAGAACAAGCACUCUGAUGGUCCUCUCUCCAUUUGGGACUUUCUGUAAGGGGAUCAAAUUCUCUGGCCCUGCAUGGGGUGAAGUUCCACCGCGAGUAACUACAGCUGGGCUGGUCACUAUUAUACCUGGCAAAGGCUGAUAGAGAGGAGCAUAAGGAGGAGGUGAAACAAGCUUAGAUUCUACAGAAGACUCUGAUAGUGUGGGGAUGCUGCGGAUUCUACAGGAGGUGUAGGCCCCUGAGGGUCCCUAUCUGGAGCUGGUGUUGGCCUGUUGGGUCUGGGGUCCCUUCCCAUUAAUAAGAGAUGAUCUUCUAAUGCUUCUGAGGGGCUUUGUGGCUUACUAGGCUUUAGCCCACAGGUGCUGCAUAGAGCUGGGUUUUGUUGUCAGGCCAUAAAGGUUUGCACAUAGGAUAUUUCAGACCAUUUUCCCUGAUUUCUACAGAAAAGAUCUAGCUGUAGGAGGGUGUUAAAGUUCACAGUCUCAUUCCCCAGCCAUGUUUUGUGAGCUAAUCUGUAUGCAAGCUAAAUAGUAUUACAAAAGAAGAUAAGUUUUUUCUUUUCUUUUUUUUUUUUUUGGUUCAUCUAGCCAAAAGCUGUUUCAAUUUUUAAAUAUACAUCCCAGGGGUGUUUCAAUGACAGUAGAGGAAGCGGCUCCCACGGUGCCGACAGAAUCUUGCAACGUCAGAAUAUGUACUAAAGUCCAGGAGGCCAUGGGCAUCACAAUGGGACAAGUGGAACCACCAAGGUGUCCAGCACAGCCCCGCGAGACCCCAUUAACUGAAGCUCUAGGAGGUCAUAGGCAUGUGCCAUACACCAUCCUAUCUCUCACCAGCGCUGCACAUCUCCAGCCCUGCCGAGAUGACCCCCACUGCUGGCUGGGGGGCAGAUGUCUGGCUGACAAGCCUUUCCCUAAUUUACUGGUUUGCAAUUUAUGAUGCCGAAUUAUAACACCUGCAAUGCUCAGAUUCAAACCCCACGACCGGGCAUCUACAUGACUUUGAGUCGUUUGUUCAGCAAAGAAAACCUGUUGAAGAACAAUUUCAAGGAGGUGGGAAAUGCAUAAAGCCUGAAGGGACAGGGUUCUCUUAAUAUUCCACUCAAAACAAAACAAGACAAAACUGUAAACAGAAAACCCGAUCAGAAAAUAAAGUACAAUAGCCACUAGGUGGCGAUCGAGUAUUGCC
Molecule: long non-coding RNA, 2073 nt
Filed under: Homo sapiens (human)
Lineage: Eukaryota; Metazoa; Chordata; Mammalia; Primates; Hominidae
Description: HSALNT0402616
Source: RNAcentral